CAAAAAAAAAAAAGAAUGGGGGUAGAAAAGGGAAGGAAGGAAAGACACUUUCUUUCUUCCCCAGACGUCCUGGAUCUCCCGCCGUAGACGAGUGGCCGGCCGGCCGCCUGUCUGCCUUGGCGCCGGAGACGGGAGCGGAGCACCGCCGGCGACCCGGGAGGAGGAGGUCGCGCGCAUCUUCCUCAGCGUUGCCGUCGUCCCGGCGCCACUGAGGCACGCGCCGCGGAGCCUGAGGAAGCGCCGGCCGAUUGGUAAAAUUCAGACUUCUUUUCAUCAACGGGUGCAAAUUGCUUCAAACACCGGAGAAUAUGUUAAUUUGACAGAAGAGCUUCUCUGGAACUGUGCAAUUAUUGAGUGGCAGAUAGGAGAUAUAUAUGCUCAAAAGCAAUGGAAACUUGUAAUCAGCAUCAGAAGAGAUGGACAAAGAGCAUAUGAAGAAGGCUAUCCUGGAGCAAGAACAAGCAUUCAGAUAACAGUUCAGGGGUGGGGUUUGCUUUGCUUUGAUUUGAUAUAUCGCCGGCCAUGAGGAACUGCUUUGUGUCAUUGACGGGAACUGCGACGACGGUGCCCUCGACCUCUCAGUGCGAGGGCAAGAUCCUCCAGUCAGAAGAUUUCAGGCGCUUCGCCUUCAAGGAGCUCAAGAGGGCCACCAUGAACUUCUGGCCGGAUGGCUUGCUCAGUGACGGCCACUUUGGGUCAGUGCACAAAGGCUGGGUGAACGAGGCUACCUUCGCCCCGGCCAGCUGGGGCACCGGCAUGCCCAUCACCGUCAAGAAGCUCAACCAGGGAAGCGUCCAGGGCCACAUGGAAUGGCUGGUCGGUGCUUCUCAGUACCAAUCAAUCCCAAUUCAUUCAUCUCUUCAAUUCUGCAUAUAUGCUGAAGUGAAAUACCUUGGCCAAUUGUCGCACCCCAAUCUGGUGAAGCUCCUAGGCUACUGCAACGAAGACCGUUCUCAGUGUCUUCUUGUCUACGAGUUCAUGCCACAGGGGAGCUUGGAGAACCAUCUUGUCAGGAGGGGCUUACAUUUCCAGCCACUGUCAUGGCAUCUGAGGAUGAAGGUAGCUCUUGGGGCAGCCAAGGGGCUCGCGUUUCUCCAUAGCGGCAAUGUCCCUGUCAUCCAACAUGAAUUCAAUACAUCAAAUGUUCUUCUCGAUUCCAGCUACAAUGCAAAGCUGUCUGAUUUUGGGUUGGCGAGGAUGGAACCGAUGGAUGAUCUGAGCACAGAUGUACAUGCAGCCCCUGAAUAUGUUGAUACAGGGCAUCUGACGAUGAAGAGCGACGUAUACAGCUUCGGUGUGGUGCUGCUGGAGAUUCUAGCAGGCCGGCCAGCCCUAGACAAGAACCGGCCCUCCAUCGAGCAUAACCUGGUGGAAUGGGCGCGGCAGUACCUGACGAGCGAGCGCCGCAUCUCUCACAUCAUGGACGCGCAGCUCGGCGGCCAGUACUCCCUCGCCUGUGCGCAUAAGGCUGCCACACUGGUGCUCCAAUGCAUCUCGGUCCACCCAAGAGACCGACCGGGCAUGGAGCAGGUGGUGGCGGCACUGGAGCAGCUCCAGGACGCCAAUGAGACUGGGGCGAGCGGUCAGAGUGAUGUACGGCUGGGUAUGGAGCAGGUGGUGGCGGUGCUGGGGCAGCAGCUUCAGGACGACAAGGAGACCGUGGCAAGCGGUCAGCAGAAGGUGAGUGGUGGUGGUGGCGGUGCCUGUGGCUUCUUCAGGAUGUGUGGCGGUGGCCGGCAGUAGCAGCCAGUGGCGAGGCGGCUGCGCGCCAAUGAGCAGAGAUGAAUUCACUGUAGAGGGAUGAUUUCGUCUCUCAGAGUCAAAUGAGCCAGCGACCAGACUAGCUUGCGUUGUUCGCUUCCAGGUCAUGGAUUCAGAGUCUAGUUUGCAGCGGCACUCACUCAUGGGUCAUGGCAGCAUUUGCAUCUCUGCCGCCUUCAAACCGGCCAUUCUCCAAGCAAUGACAUCAUCCUUCACCCUCUGGGCAACAUGCUGGGGUGUUGCACAUUUGCUAUUGAAGACUCUGCUUUUUGCUGGAGAAACGAGCCUGAUGAGAGAGUGCUAGAAUUUCCUCAGGUUGUUGCUGGUAGGGAUGCAUUCUGGGGGGAAACUGAAGUGUGCGACCGCCAACGUCCAAACAGUUCGGGCGAAGGUGCAAUCGACAAAGGGAUACCUGACUGAUUCAGGAUGCUAUCGGCAAAGCUGCCAGAUUGGGUUAUUAGGCCAUCCCAGCAUGCCAUCUUCUCCCCUUCGAACCAUUGCUCCCCAUGGAUGACACCCAUGUGUGACCUCGUCGUCAUUGGCCGUCCCUUUCAAGAGUUCAGACACACAUGAUUCAGUAGAGGUUCCCAGUGGGGAUGUUUUUGACGAAACAUCUCAAGUGAGCUGGAUAAGAAAUGCCUUAUUUAUCUGGCCUGCUGCUUUCACGGCUUAAAAAUUGGACGUGGAUAACUGCCACACGUGUGGCAGGAAGGGAGGCGCACCACACUCUCUAAAGCAAACAGAUUGCCACGUCAUCGCAUGCAUGCAUGUAAGAAUCUUUUUGGAUUUUCAGUUUUUAAAAUGUUUUAUCUCUCAAAUGAAAAAUCCGAUUGAAGAUCUGUUUUCACCAUUAAAUCCAUCGCGACGAGAUCUUCGAAACUAAAUCUCAUAUCAAUAUGUUUCGACUUUUUUUUAAGGUUGAAAGUUGCCAUGUCUAUUGCACAUGAAUUGCCAUGAUGUUUACACUGAAGUUGCCAUGAUAUGUUCCAGCUAUUUUUUUCUACAUUUAAAAGUAAAUUUUGACAUAUUAUAAAAUGGGAAAUUAAGAAACUAGACUUGCUAUGAACCAUAAAGUAAAUUUUCCAUGAUACAUGCACUUAAAAUUGCCAUAGUUCAUAAAAAUAUAAUUUUCAUGAUCAAAGUACUGGAAUUGCCAUAGUCAAAAUACUAAAAUUGUCAUGCUCUAUAAACUAAAAUUGCCACAUGGCAACUUUAGUGUAACACUAUGGCAAGUACAGUGUAGACAUCAUGGCAAUUUUUGGCAAAAAAAAAAAUCGUCGAAACAUAUCAACAUGAGAUCUAGUUUUGAAGAUCUCGUCGAGACGGAUUUAAUGGUGAAAACGGAUUUUUAGUUGGAUUUUUUAAUUAGGAGAUAAAACAUUUUUAAGCCGAAAACCAAAAAGAUUUCCGCUGAUGUCAUCUGUUUUGAUGUGGCAAAAUGAAUAGUACUGCAGGCGUUUGGAUCAUGUUGCUUCGUGCCACAUGUGUGGGCGUUAACAUUUGCCUAAAAAUUUAGACAAGUUGUAGUUCAAGUGCUCAAGUAGUAUAGGAGUAGCACAGAACUUAGUAUAGGAGUAGCACAGAACUGCAGCUCCACAUCUUUGUAAACAUCCUGAAGCAAGUAACAAUCCACCAGACUGCCAUUUAUCAAUUUGGAAUGAUAGCCUUUUCAAUGCAAGUGGAGCUCUCCCUUGCAGGCCAUCAUGGAUUCUGCAACCUUGGCAAUAUAAUAGCCCAUUAGCUCUCCCAUAGUGUGCAAACAGAAUCACUACAUUUGAUUCUAGUGCUAAAGUUUGACAAAGUUUAUAGAAAAAUAUAUAACCAUCUACAAUAUUAAAAUAGUUUCAUUUGAUCCGUCAUGAAAUAUAUUUCCAUAGAUGUUAUCAAAUAUUGGCACAUUUUUUUCUGUAGACUUUGUGCAAAUUGACUUAACCUCAAUCAAUUUGGAAUGGAGUGAGUAUAUCCAACUACCUUUUAACUUUCUUGUAUAAAUAGCAAGUGAUAAAUAGUAAUAUUAAUGCUGACUGAGCAAACAACCCGUGCAGGAUAACCAACCAGUUCAGUUCCCAUUCCAUGAAUUGAUUCAUUCAUUUUUAUUUUAUUUUGCAUAUUACUAGUUCUUUUCAGCUCAUUUCCAAUCAGCGAGGCGGCAGAAUCCUCAAAACAAAAACUUCACUAAUCAUAUCCCUUCUGUAUAAA
RNA transcript from Aegilops tauschii subsp. strangulata, 3960 nucleotides. It is a transcript of the gene named receptor-like cytoplasmic kinase 176, with no coding region annotated. Lineage: Eukaryota; Viridiplantae; Streptophyta; Magnoliopsida; Poales; Poaceae. The record is from RefSeq and is a predicted model, not a curated record.